GGAAAAGAAACUAACAAGGAUUCCCCCAGUAACGGCGAGUGAAGCGGGAAGAGCUCAAGCUUAAAAUCUCCAUACUUGUAUGGCGAAUUGUAGUCUAUUGAGGCUGUUGUCAGCAUCGCGAUUGGGGACAAGUCCCUUGGAAAAGGGCAGCAUAGAGGGUGAUACUCCCGUCUCUGCUCCAAUCUGCGGUGUGUACGAUACGCUUUCUUUGAGUCGAGUUGUUUGGGAAUACAGCUCAAAGUAGGUGGUAAAUUCCAUCUAAAGCUAAAUAUUGGUGCGAGACCGAUAGCGAACAAGUACCGUGAGGGAAAGAUGAAAAGAACUUUGAAAAGAGAGUUAAAGAGUACCUGAAACUGUUGAAAGGGAACCGUAUCGUUUCCAGUGUUGUAUCCUAUGCAUAUUUCAUUCGCGGAGUAAUUUGCGGGUGCCCUGUGCAUGGGUGUGACGUCAGGGUCAGUUUGUAUGCUGCGGGAGAUGGUCAGUGAGGAGGUGCGUCACUUCGGUGAAAGUUAUAUCUCGCUGUCUAGUAGCCGUGGUUGAGACUGAGGUGCCUACAACAAGCCUUAAGGUUCCGUGUUGUCUCGUGUUGGUGACUGCUCUGAUAGCUUGCUAUGUUUGUGGUUUAUUAGUGCGAUUGAUGAUGUGGAUAACUUUUGCUGUUCGGGACUCUGGCGAAAUGGAGCGAUACGA
Molecule: ribosomal RNA, 690 nt
Filed under: Saprolegnia sp. WM_1
Lineage: Eukaryota; Oomycota; Saprolegniomycetes; Saprolegniales; Saprolegniaceae
Description: eukaryotic LSU rRNA
Rfam family: Eukaryotic large subunit ribosomal RNA
Source: RNAcentral